GAUGAACGCUGGCGGCGUGCCUAAUACAUGCAAGUCGAGCGAACGGACGAGAAGCUUGCUUUUCUGAUGUUAGCGGCGGACGGGUGAGUAACACGUGGAUAACCUACCUAUAAGACUGGGAUAACUUCGGGAAACCGGAGCUAAUACCGGAUAAUAUUUUGAACCGCAUGGUUCAAAAGUGAAAGACGGUCUUGCUGUCACUUAUAGAUGGAUCCGCGCUGCAUUAGCUAGUUGGUAAGGUAACGGCUUACCAAGGCAACGAUGCAUAGCCGACCUGAGAGGGUGAUCGGCCACACUGGGACUGAGACCCGGUCCAGACUCCUACGGGAGGCAGCAGUAGGGAAUCUUCCGCAAUGGGCGAAAGCCUGACGGAGCAACGCCGCGUGAGUGAUGAAGGUCUUCGGAUCGUAAAACUCUGUUAUUAGGGAAGAACAUAUGUGUAAGUAACUGUGCACAUCUUGACGGUACCUAAUCAGAGAGCCACGGCUAACUACGUG
This 497-nucleotide ribosomal RNA is filed under the name uncultured bacterium. RNAcentral describes it as "partial 16S ribosomal RNA". It matches the Rfam family "Bacterial small subunit ribosomal RNA", at positions 28 to 507 of the family's 1533-position model. The record is from RNAcentral.